Long non-coding RNA from Populus euphratica (Euphrates poplar), 241 nucleotides. RefSeq lists it as uncharacterized. The transcript has 3 exons. NCBI's taxonomy places the organism in Eukaryota, Viridiplantae, Streptophyta, Magnoliopsida, Malpighiales, Salicaceae. The record is from RefSeq and is a predicted model, not a curated record.
UCUGUAGCUUGCCCUUCACAAAGGUUGCAUGCUUGAGCAAGAACCAACAAUUCAAUGAUUUCCUUCACCAUCUUUUCAAUAUCUGGCGAGAGAAAAAGCUCGGUAAUUUCUGUGAAUCCCUCGUAUCUGAAGGGCUCGCUUUGAUUUCAAAGUCAGAAGCCACAGACAGAGAGUUUACAGAUGAUAAAGCUAAAAGCUUUCUGGUUACGAAGGAGCCAAAACUUGAGCGAGAACAUUGCUG